Molecule: ribosomal RNA, 255 nt
Filed under: uncultured bacterium
Lineage: Bacteria
Description: partial 16S ribosomal RNA
Source: RNAcentral
CUGCUGCCUCCCGUAGGAGUCUGGUCCGUGUCUCAGUCCCAAUGUGGCCGUCCACCCUCUCAGGCCGGCUACUGAUCGCUGCCUUGGUGGGCCGUUACCCCGCCAACUAGCUAAUCAGACGCGGAUCCAUCGUAUACCACCGGAGUUUUUCACACUGCCCCAUGCGGAGCCGUGCGCUUAUGCGGUAUUAGCACCUAUUUCUAAGUGUUAUCCCCCGGUAUACGGCAGGUUAUCCACGUGUUACUCACCCGUCCG